UGAUACAUCGAGGCCUGAGUUUUGGC
This 26-nucleotide small RNA is filed under the name Bombyx mori (domestic silkworm). RNAcentral describes it as "ovarian small RNA-32376". The record is from RNAcentral. Lineage: Eukaryota; Metazoa; Arthropoda; Insecta; Lepidoptera; Bombycidae.